Molecule: ribosomal RNA, 497 nt
Filed under: uncultured bacterium
Lineage: Bacteria
Description: partial 16S ribosomal RNA
Rfam family: Bacterial small subunit ribosomal RNA
Source: RNAcentral
GAUGAACGCUGGCGGCGUGCCUAAUACAUGCAAGUCGAGCGAACAGACGAGGAGCUUGCUCCUCUGACGUUAGCGGCGGACGGGUGAGUAACACGUGGAUAACCUACCUAUAAGACUGGGAUAACUUCGGGAAACCGGAGCUAAUACCGGAUAAUAUAUUUAACCGCAUGGUUCAAUAGUGAAAGACGGUUUUGCUGUCACUUAUAGAUGGAUCCGCGCCGCAUUAGCUAGUUGGUAAGGUAACGGCUUACCAAGGCGACGAUGCGUAGCCGACCUGAGAGGGUGAUCGGCCACACUGGAAGUGAGACACGGUCCAGACUCCUACGGGAGGCAGCAGUAGAGAAUCUGCCGCAAUGGGCGAAAGCCUGACGGAGCAACGCCGCGUGAGUGAUGAAGGUCUUCGGAUCGUAAAACUCUGUUAUUAGGGAAGAACAAAUGUGUAAGUAACUAUGCACGUCUUGACGGUACCUAAUCAGAAAGCCACGGCUAACUACGUG